AUUAAUACGAUUGUUCUAAGCAUAAUGUUAUUAAGAAUAUUUAAAUAAAAUAAGUAUAAGUUAUUGUAAAUUUAAUUGAUAAGAUUUUUUAAACUAUAGUUAAUUAGUACCGUGAGGGAAAUUGGUUUAUAAUUAUAAAAAGGUGAUUUUAAUAAUUGUUUCUUGUGUAUCAGAAUAUAUUAAGAUAAAUUAUUAAAUUUUUUUUCUCGAAUUUAAAAGAUUUAAUUAAGAGAUUUAUUUAAUGUGUCAAAAUUAUUAAGAAUUCUUAAUUGGUAAUGAAAUGUUAAUCGUUUUUAAGUAUAUCUAGUUUUUUAAUAAAUGAAUUUAAUUCAUAAAAUGUAAAUUAUUAUAUAAUUACUUAUUUUAAUUUCUUAUGUUUUAAACUUUUAGGGGGUAUAUCUCUUAAAAGUAUAAUUAUAAUAAGUUAGUUGUGAAGAAUUUUAUAAAUUUAGAAUUUGUUAUUAAUUAAAGUAUGUUAAAAUUUAGUUCUUAAAAUUUUUAAUUUAUUAUUUAUUUAAUUUAUUUAUUAAAAUGUGAAUUGGAAUUUAAGUUUUUAAGGAGUAAUGAUUUAAUUAGUAAAAAAAAUGUAAAUUAUAUAAAUUAAUUGGUAUGUUUAUUUAAGGAAUUUGGCAAGCAUUUUGCCUGCCUGUUUAAUAAAAACAUGGUUUCUUGUUUAUAUAGGAAAUUUGGCCUGCCCACUGAUUAUAUUAAAGGGCCGCAGUAUACUGACUGUGCAAAGGUAGCAUAAUCAUUAGUCUUUUAAUUGAAGACUGGUAUGAAUGGUCGGACAAGGUAAAUACUGUCUUUUAUAAAUUUUUGUUGAAUUUAUGUUUUAAGUAAAAAAACUUAAAUGAAAUUAAGGGACGAGAAGACCCUAUAGAGUUUAAUAAAUAUAAUUGUAAUUAAGUUUAUAUAAAAUUUUUGAUUAUAAAAAAAAUUUAUUUAAUUGGGGCGAUUAGAGGAUAUAAUAAACUCUUCUUAAAGUUAAAUAUUUUGUGUAAAUUUAAGAUCCAUAUAUAAUGAUUAAAAGAUUAAAUUACCUUAGGGAUAACAGCAUUAUCUUUUUUGAGAGUUCAAAUUGAGAAAAGGGAUUGUGACCUCGAUGUUGGAUUAAGAUAAAUAUUGGGUGUAGAUGUUCAAUAAUUAAGUCUGUUCGACUUUUAAAAUCUUACAUGAUCUGAGUUUAAACCGGUGUGAGCCAGGUUGGUUUCUAUCUUUAGUAAGGUGAAUUAUUUUAGUACGAGAGGACCAAAUAAUUGAAAUAAUUUUUUUUAGUAAUGAAUUUCAUUAAAU
This 1293-nucleotide ribosomal RNA is filed under the name Schizocephala bicornis. RNAcentral describes it as "16S ribosomal RNA". The stretch from base 574 to 1293 matches the Rfam family "Archaeal large subunit ribosomal RNA", at positions 1423 to 2832 of the family's 2987-position model. The record is from RNAcentral. Lineage: Eukaryota; Metazoa; Arthropoda; Insecta; Mantodea; Mantidae.